Penaeus monodon (black tiger shrimp) is the source of this 1292-nucleotide long non-coding RNA. RefSeq lists it as uncharacterized. The record is from RefSeq and is a predicted model, not a curated record. The transcript is spliced from 4 exons. NCBI's taxonomy places the organism in Eukaryota, Metazoa, Arthropoda, Malacostraca, Decapoda, Penaeidae.
UGGGCACAGGAGAGGAGCAGUGAUCAGAGAACUUGUGAGGUUCAUCUGCAAUGCAGCUGACUCUGUCUUUGGAAAGUUAGUGAACACGGACCACAAGAGAGACAAAGGCAAUAGUCAGCAGAGUGGGCCUCAGAGGAGACAGCCUGGAAGUUUUGCUACAUCUCUUCUGUCACGAAGGACAAAGCAGUUAUACCAGAGAUCAAGAAACAAACAGCUUGGAAGUGCCCUCACUGUGGUCAAGGAGACUACAUGAUCAGAUGUCCACAGUUCAAGGCCAUGAAAAUCAGGAAUCACUGACAUCUUGUGAUGUCUAAGGGCCUUUUUGUGAUCUGUUUUGCUCGGAAGCAAAACGAUUAUUCCUGCAAUAUCAUGUGCCAAACAAGAGGCCAGAUGGAGAUGAUGUUACAACAGAAGAAAUGCCGCAAGUGCCUGUAGAAGUGAGUGCAUAAAUUUGCCUGCAGUCAUAAUGUAAAGCAGGUCUUACCCAUAGUGCUAGCCAAAAUUAGCUGUUUAGACACAAGUGCCAUUGUUAGCACUUAUGCAGUGUUGGACCCAUGGACUAAUGCUACUUAUAGAAGAGUGAUGACCCAGGAGACCCCUUGCAAACCAAGUAAUACAGUUGUUGCUUAGAAGAGGUUUCCAUCUAACAAAGUUUGUUGAUGAACAACACAAGUAAGGACAAGUGAGGAAAAUCCUCUACCAUCCUUGAUGUCAGCUUAGAUGAACUACAAGAAAUGAAGGAAAUACCCAUGGUGGUAACAACAACAAUCACAACAACAAGGAGAAGCAAAGCAGAAGAAACCAAGCCUUCGUGCCAUGUUUUCAGAAGAAAAGGAUGCACCAAGUUAAAGGGAACUUUAACAAGAAAGUCCAAAGACGUGAAAAUGAGAGACAGCAGAGGAACCAGGAGUAGAGCAGAUUCCUGAGCAAUGGUACUGCUGGUGAAGAGGUGUGUCUUGUUGGUAGGCCCCCAAGUAGUGCAGCCCAGGGUUAACACAGACCUACCAGAGGCCAUUCCAGACAUCACCACCUUGGACCCAGAGCAAAGGAGGAAUCUGUUCUCUGACCCUAUCUGUGAAAAGUAAAUAGCUCGCUCUUUUCACAUAUCUGUAUUAACGUCUAUUAUUCCCUCCUUUUCAUAACCGUAUAAUAUUCAAUUUCAUUUAUACGUGCCUGUCCAAUCCCAACACCUAUUUAAUUAAGUCUUAUACACUUGACCUGUGGUUCUUAACUCCCAUGCCUUUCCCUCCAUGCCUCCCUUGCAUCAGUAAAUAAAAUUCCCUCCAUAUCUU